This 331-nucleotide unclassified non-coding RNA is filed under the name soil metagenome. RNAcentral's name for it is "partial contains 5.8S ribosomal RNA, internal transcribed spacer 2, and large subunit ribosomal RNA". The stretch from base 1 to 120 matches the Rfam family "5.8S ribosomal RNA", at positions 35 to 154 of the family's 154-position model. The record is from RNAcentral.
GAUGAAGAACGCAGCGAAAUGCGAUACGUAAUGUGAAUUGCAGAAUUCAGUGAAUCAUCGAGUCUUUGAACGCACAUUGCGCCCCCUGGUAUUCCGGGGGGCAUGCCUGUCCGAGCGUCAUUUCAACCUUCAAGCUCUGCUUGGUAUUGGGCCUGCGCUGGUCUCCCAGCGGGCCUCAAAAUCAGUGGCGGUGCCAUCUGGCUUCAAGCGUAGUAACACAUCUCGCUUCUGGAGACCCAGGUGUUUGCCUGCCAGCAACCCCAUCUUCUCAGGUUGACCUCGGAUCAGGUAGGGCUACCCGCUGAACUUAAGCAUAUCAAUAAGCGGAGGA